Molecule: ribosomal RNA, 253 nt
Filed under: uncultured bacterium
Lineage: Bacteria
Description: partial 16S ribosomal RNA
Rfam family: Bacterial small subunit ribosomal RNA
Source: RNAcentral
UACGUAGGGUGCAAGCGUUAAUCGGAAUUACUGGGCGUAAAGCGUGCGCAGGCUGUUUUGUAAGUCAGAUGUGAAAUCCCCGAGCUCAACUUGGGAACUGCGUUUGAAACUACAAGGCUAGAAUAGGUCAGAGGGGGGUAGAAUUCCGCGUGUAGCAGUGAAAUGCGUAGAUAUGCGGAGGAAUAUCUAUGGCGAAGGCAGCCCCCUGGGAUCAUAUUGACGCUCAUGCACGAAAGCGUGGGGAGCAAACAGG